CAUUAUCGUACCGUGGGUGGUUACCAUGGCUGUCGCUGAUAACUAGUCGUGCACGCCAGAGUGCCCUCACAUACAAAUCAUCCAUCUCACCCCUUUGUGCAUCACCGCGUGGGUCCCCCCUUCCUCGGAGGAGGGGGGGUUCCUCACGUUUUUAACAUUAAACACCCAUUCAAAUGUACUGUAAAAUGUUCUUUGCGCGAUCACGCGUGAUCAAUACAACUUUCAACAACGGAUCUCUUGGCUCUCGCAUCGAUGAAAAACGCAGCGAAAUGCGAUACGUAAUGUGAAUUGCAAAAUUCAGUGAAUCAUCGAAUCUUUGAACGCACCUUGCGCCCCUUGGAAUUCCGAGGGGCACACCCGUUUGAGUGUCGUGAACAUCCUCAACCUCCUUGGUUUUUUUUUCUUGAACCAAGUAGGCUUGGAAUUUGGAGGUUUUCUGCUGGCCUCYUCCGAAGCCAGCUCCUCUUAAAUCUAUUAGUGGGAUCCGCUCUGCCAGAUCCUCGACGUUGAUAAGAUGCUUCUACGUCUUGGGUUUCGCUCGCGAAGGAUCUGCUUCUAACCGUCCCAUCGGGGACAAAUGUUCGAGCCGACCGCGCGCCCCCGUCAAGGGGUGGGUGGGAAAGCUUUUGACACAUGAAACCUUGACCUCAAAUCGGGUGAGACUACCCGCUGAACUUAAGCAUAUCAAUAAGCGGAGGAAAAGAAACUAACAAGGAUUCCCCUAGUAA
RNAcentral lists this ribosomal RNA (728 nucleotides) under uncultured fungus. RNAcentral's name for it is "eukaryotic LSU rRNA". The stretch from base 218 to 371 matches the Rfam family "5.8S ribosomal RNA". The record is from RNAcentral. Lineage: Eukaryota; Fungi.